GUACUCUCACACUCCUCUUAUUAUUGAGAGGAGUAGUGGACUUGGAUGUUGCUGCUUCAGUGUCAGGCUCAUCUCAAAUCGCUUAGUGUAACUCUAGAUUGGACAUAAGUAACAUGUUUACUACACAGCGUGAUAAGUAUCCUCGCUAGUGUGUCUAAUGGAAUGGGCUCUGCGCUUCAAACCGUCUUUUGACAAAACUCUGACA
This 205-nucleotide unclassified non-coding RNA is filed under the name uncultured Sebacina. Its description in RNAcentral is "sequence contains ITS2". The record is from RNAcentral. Lineage: Eukaryota; Fungi; Basidiomycota; Agaricomycetes; Sebacinales; Sebacinaceae.